Molecule: ribosomal RNA, 253 nt
Filed under: uncultured bacterium
Lineage: Bacteria
Description: partial 16S ribosomal RNA
Rfam family: Bacterial small subunit ribosomal RNA
Source: RNAcentral
UACAGAGGGUGCAAGCGUUAAUCGGAAUUACUGGGCGUAAAGCGUGCGUAGACGGUUAUGUAAGUCAGGUGUGAAAGCCCCGGGCUCAACCUGGGAAUUGCAUUUGAGACUGCAUAGCUAGGGUGCGGAAGAGGGAAGCGGAAUUUCCGGUGUAGCGGUGAAAUGCGUAGAUAUCGGAAGGAACAUCAGUGGCGAAAGCGGCUUCCUGGUCCAGCACCGACGUUCAGGCACGAAAGCGUGGGGGGCAAACAGG